RNAcentral lists this ribosomal RNA (406 nucleotides) under uncultured bacterium. RNAcentral describes it as "partial 16S ribosomal RNA". It matches the Rfam family "Bacterial small subunit ribosomal RNA", at positions 28 to 526 of the family's 1533-position model. The record is from RNAcentral.
GACGAACGCUGGCGGCGUGCCUAAUACAUGCAAGUCGAACGAGUGGCGGACGGGGGAGUAAUGUCUGGGAAACUGCCUGAUGUAGGGGGAUAACUCCUUGAAUCGGUAGCCAUUACCUCAUAUCAACAGAUGUGGCCAGAUGGGAUUGGCUAGUAGGUGGGGUAAUGGCGCACCUAGGCGACGAUCCCUAGCUGGUCUGAGAGGAUGACCAGCCACACUGGAACUGAGACACGGUCCAGACUCCUACGGGAGGCAGCAGUGGGGAAUAUUGCACAAUGGGCGCAAGCCUGAUGCAGCCAUGCCGCGUGUGUGAAGAAGGCCUUAGGGUUGUAAAGCACUUUCAGCGGGGAGGCGUUACUCGCAGAAGAAGCACCGGCUAACUCCGUGCCAGCAGCCGCGGUAAUAC